GAGAGAGGUUAAUGUGACACCAAGAACUGCUAACUCUUGAACCCACGGUUAAACUCCGUGGCUCACUCG
This 69-nucleotide transfer RNA is filed under the name Knodus borki. RNAcentral describes it as "tRNA-Ser". The record is from RNAcentral. Lineage: Eukaryota; Metazoa; Chordata; Actinopteri; Characiformes; Stevardiidae.